Molecule: ribosomal RNA, 274 nt
Filed under: uncultured bacterium
Lineage: Bacteria
Description: partial 16S ribosomal RNA
Rfam family: Bacterial small subunit ribosomal RNA
Source: RNAcentral
AUACGGAGGGUGCAAGCGUUGUUCGGAAUCACUGGGCGUAAAGGGCGCGCAGGCGGUUUGAUUAGUCAGAUGUGAAAGCCCACGGCUUAACCGUGGAAGUGCAUUUGAAACUGUCAGACUUGAGUAUCAGAGGGGAAAGUGGAAUUCCCGGUGUAGAGGUGAAAUUCGUAGAUAUCGGGAGGAAUACCGGUGGCGAAGGCGACUUUCUGGCUGAAUACUGACGCUAAGGCGCGAAAGCGUGGGGAGCAAACAGGAUUAGAAACCCCUGUAGUCC